ACUGUUCUGGGAAAUGCUUAAGAACAACUACCUUCAAGGAGCUCCCAGCCUGGACUGUAAGCCUUGAGAAGACAGGUGGAGAACUGAGGCCCAACCUGGGAGAAGACUUUGACAAGGUCAUGCAGCAGAGCUGGAAGAGUCCAGGCUUUCUUCACCACGUGGCAGCUUAUGCCACGGAAGCAUGGCUUUCCUGAGAGGACCCUGCAAGCCAGACAAGAAGAUGCUUCCCUGCCCGUCCUGAUCCCCAGCCUUGGCGCCCAGCAGCCUCCUCUCUGCCCAAAGCAUCCUCAGAGACCACUUAGUCAAACUUUUCGACUGGCUGCUGAGAACUAAGAGCUAAGAGUUAGCAGACAGACCAGAAUGAAGACCCACAUGUCCACAUCCCAGACCUGACAUCCCCCCACUAAUCUCCCUCACUGUUGCUGCUGUCUGCAGCCUCCUCAGCCUUCUGCAUCGUUGUGUCCACAAGGAAGCAAAGGUUAAGCAAUCCAGAGAGUGACCCCAUGUCCUCCCAGGAGCAAGUCUGCUGCUGCAGCCUUCAAGCAUGUGUUUGCCCCCUAAUAACGCUGGCAG
Molecule: long non-coding RNA, 573 nt
Organism: Phacochoerus africanus (Common warthog)
Lineage: Eukaryota; Metazoa; Chordata; Mammalia; Artiodactyla; Suidae
Exons: 4
Source: RefSeq, a predicted model, not a curated record